RNAcentral lists this ribosomal RNA (468 nucleotides) under uncultured bacterium. Its description in RNAcentral is "partial 16S ribosomal RNA". It matches the Rfam family "Bacterial small subunit ribosomal RNA", at positions 28 to 507 of the family's 1533-position model. The record is from RNAcentral.
GACGAACGCUGGCGGCGUGCUUAACACAUGCAAGUCGAACGGAAAGGCCCUGCUUUUGUGGGGUGCUCGAGUGGCGAACGGGUGAGUAACACGUGAGUAACCUGCCCUUGACUUUGGGAUAACUUCAGGAAACUGGGGCUAAUACCGGAUAGGAGCUCCUGCUGCAUGGUGGGGGUUGGAAAGUUUCGGCGGUUGGGGAUGGACUCGCGGCUUAUCAGCUUGUUGGUGGGGUAGUGGCUUACCAAGGCUUUGACGGGUAGCCGGCCUGAGAGGGUGACCGGCCACAUUGGGACUGAGAUACGGCCCAUACUCCUACGGGAGGCAGCAGUGGGAAAUAUUGCACAAUGGGCGGAAGCCUGAUGCAGCAACGCCGCGUGCGGAAUGACGGCCUUCGGGUUGUAAACCGCUUUCGCCUGGGACGAAACGGGAGUGACGGUAAUGGGUAAAGAAGCACCGGCUAACUACGUG